GAUGAACGCUGGCGGCGUGCCUAAUACAUGCCAGUCGAGCGAACGGACGAGAAGCUUGCUUCUCUGAUGUUAGCGGCGGACGGGCGAGUAACACGUGGAUAACCUACCUAUAAGACUGGGAUAACUUCGGGAAACCGUAGCUAAUACCGGAUAAUAUUUUGAACCGCAUGGUUCAAAAGUGAAAGACGGUCUUGCUGUCACUUAUAGAUGGUUCCGCGCUGCAUUAGCUAGUUGGUAAGGUAACGGCUUACCAAGGCAACGAUGCAUAGCCGACCUGAGAGGGUGAUCGGCCACACUGGAACUGAGACACGGUCCAGACUCCUACGGGAGGCAGCAGUAGGGAAUCUUCCGCAAUGGGCGAAAGCCUGACGGAGCAACGCCGCGUGAGUGAUGAAGGUCUUCGGAUCGUAAAACUCUGUUAUUAGGGAAGAACAUAUGUGUAAGUAACUGUGCACAUCUUGACGGUACCUAAUCAGAAAGCCACGGCUAACUACGUG
This 497-nucleotide ribosomal RNA is filed under the name uncultured bacterium. RNAcentral's name for it is "partial 16S ribosomal RNA". It matches the Rfam family "Bacterial small subunit ribosomal RNA", at positions 28 to 507 of the family's 1533-position model. The record is from RNAcentral.